UACAGAGGGCUCAAGCGUUGUUCGGAAUCAUUGGGCGUAAAGGGUGCGUAGGCGGCGCGGUAAGUCGGGUGUGAAAUCUUGGAGCUUAACUCCGAAACUGCAUUCGAUACUGCCGUGCUUGAGGACGGGAGAGGAGACUGGAAUUUACGGUGUAGCGGUGAAAUGCGUAGAUAUCGUAAGGAAGACCAGUGGCGAAGGCGGGUCUCUGGACAGUUCCUGACGCUGAGGCACGAAGGCGUGGGGAGCAAACGGG
Molecule: ribosomal RNA, 253 nt
Filed under: uncultured bacterium
Lineage: Bacteria
Description: partial 16S ribosomal RNA
Rfam family: Bacterial small subunit ribosomal RNA
Source: RNAcentral